CAGCCGUAAACUAUGCGCGUUAGGUGUAUCGGUGACCACGAGUUACCGAGGUGCCGAAGGGAAACCGUGAAACGUGCCGCCUGGGAAGUACGGUCGCAAGGCUGAAACUUAAAGGAAUUGGCGGGGGAGCACCACAACAGGUGGAGCCUGCGGUUUAAUUGGACUCAACGCCGGGAAGCUCACCGGAUAGGACAGCAGAAUGAUUGCCGGGCUGAAGACCCUGCAUGACUAGCUGAGAGGUGGUGCAUGGCCGUCAGUGACU
RNAcentral lists this ribosomal RNA (262 nucleotides) under uncultured archaeon. RNAcentral describes it as "partial 16S ribosomal RNA". It matches the Rfam family "Archaeal small subunit ribosomal RNA", at positions 748 to 1009 of the family's 1478-position model. The record is from RNAcentral.